CACCGGGAGCAGGCAGUUCCGAGAACAGCCCAAUGAAGGCCCCCGGCGGCUGUUCUCGAAACUGCCUGUUACCGGUGACCGCAUUUGUAUCAGACCGGCUCGCGGCGCAGGCACUGGUAGGGACUUGCCUGUGCCUCGCCGUACUUGUGAUUUAAGAUGGCAGCCCGCAUGUGUUCGCAGGCGAACACGGAAAACUGGCCAUCACUGCUAAUAAAUGCUGGAGAACCCCUUU
Long non-coding RNA from Bufo bufo (common toad), 232 nucleotides. RefSeq lists it as uncharacterized. The transcript has 3 exons. Lineage: Eukaryota; Metazoa; Chordata; Amphibia; Anura; Bufonidae. The record is from RefSeq and is a predicted model, not a curated record.